This is a long non-coding RNA of Misgurnus anguillicaudatus (oriental weatherfish), 659 nucleotides long. RefSeq lists it as uncharacterized. Lineage: Eukaryota; Metazoa; Chordata; Actinopteri; Cypriniformes; Cobitidae. The record is from RefSeq and is a predicted model, not a curated record.
AAAUAGGCGACUUUGGAUUGGCCCGUGAUGUGUACAAGAAAGACUACUACAGGAAAAAGGGUGAAGGUUUAUUUCCUGUUCGCUGGAUGUCAACAGAAAGUUUAACAGAUGUAAUUUUCAACAAAUACUCGGAUGUCUGGGCGUUUGGUGUACUCCUGUGGGAGAUUAUGACAUUAGCUUCCAUAUCCAACAUACACCAACCAUGAAGUCUUAAGCUACAUUAAUGCCGGUGGACGACUGCCUUUACCAACCGGGUGUCCUAAGAGUUUGUACAAUCUGAUGAUGGACUGUUGGAAAAAGGGGCCAAAUGAAAGGCCAAGCUUCCAGGACCUACAGGAAACCCUGCAUAGAUUGCGAGAUUACGAAGCAGAUCAAAUAGGCGAAAAUAUGAUUGCAUGUCAUGUAAACCAAGCAUACCAAGAAGAUGAGGAGGAGGUCUGCACAAGGGUGGAUGAAGAUGAAGAUGUAGAAACAGGACUUUCUCCUGUGCUCAACAACGAUGGACUGAAUUACUUGAUGUAUCGAGCUGAGAGUCCAGACAGUGUCAGAACAGACAAAUCCACACUGUCAGAGGACAGAUAAGACUAGGAAACCACAUUUCACAAGACUUUUUUAAGAUGUCAAAUAAAUAUUUGGUGUCCCCAGAAUACGUAUGUGAA